This 106-nucleotide ribosomal RNA is filed under the name Bacteroides caecigallinarum. RNAcentral's name for it is "partial 16S ribosomal RNA". It matches the Rfam family "Bacterial small subunit ribosomal RNA", at positions 1 to 100 of the family's 1533-position model. The record is from RNAcentral. Lineage: Bacteria; Pseudomonadati; Bacteroidota; Bacteroidia; Bacteroidales; Bacteroidaceae.
UUUUACAAUGAAGAGUUUGAUCCUGGCUCAGGAUGAACGCUAGCUACAGGCUUAACACAUGCAAGUCGAGGGGCAGCGGGAUUGAAGCUUGCUUCAAUUGCCGGCG